UUUGGUUAAUUUUAAAAAAAAAAUUUGGUUAAAUUUAGUCAAAUAGUUUCAGAAGAAUUUUGUAAAAGGACGACUGACGACUAGUGAUGAGAGAAGCUCACUUGGCCUUUUGGACCAGGUGAGCUAAAAAUACAUUCAAGAUCAACAAUUUACCAGUAUAACUUGAGUCCGAUAUUAUUUAUAGAUUAUGCAAGUAACCGGC
This 202-nucleotide long non-coding RNA is filed under the name Mytilus galloprovincialis (Mediterranean mussel). Lineage: Eukaryota; Metazoa; Mollusca; Bivalvia; Mytilida; Mytilidae. The record is from RNAcentral.